GUUAACCACCAAACUAGAUGCUCCCUAAGAUAGUAUGAGUCUUACCUGAUGUGAGCAAAAUGGGGGCCCUGUGGCUUGCCAGGUGGUCACUGGUAAAUUGCACAAGGCUUACUCCAGUGGUGACUGGGUGGGGAGAAGGGAAGCGCACUUAUAUAGACUCAUGUAUAAAUAGAUACUUGUAAUAUACGAGCAUCUGCUCUGUGGAAGAUGUUUUUUUCCAGGCCCAGAAGUGUAAGAUCCGGUGCCUAUCUUCAGGCGGGUGGCAAACAAACAUCACAUAAAGGAGAGUGUCUGGCUUGUGUCUUCUGGGUACGUGAUCCCCCUGACUUCAGUGUGAGAAUGUGGCCAGAGCGUCUGGGGAAGACAGGGAGAGUUGUCAGAGAGGAGUUUUGAGGAGGCCCUGAAGGCUCGCCGGCUGUUAAGGCCUGAGCUGUAGUGGGCAAGAAGAGAUGGCCAGUUCAGGUAGAGGAAGCCUGCUUUGAGCUGAAGACCGGAGGUGAAUCUGGACAGGGCUUCCCAGGACCAGUGGAAUCAGAGGUUUCUGGCUGACUCGGUGGGUGCUUUGAACCAGGAAAGGACAAGAAAGAGGAUGGGAAGGACUGAUCCACAUUCCCACCAGGAAGUUUAGCAGAACCCCCGCGUGCCACCUGGACCCCUUGGAAGGACCUGGCUCAGGCUGGACCACCUCUUGAGAGGCAGGAGCUCUGGAUUUGAUCAAGAAUUCUUUGCUGAGCAUGGUGCCUCAUGCCUAUAAUCCCAACACUUUGGGAGGCCAGUGUGGGAGGAUCUCUUGAGCCCAGGAGUUCAAGACUAGCCUGGGCAACACAGAGAGACCCCAUCUCUAAAAUAAUAAUAAUAAUAAAAUAAAAAAUUAGCAGGGCAUGGUGGCAUGUGCCUGUAGUCCCAGCUACCCAGGAGGCUGAGGCAAGAGGAUGGCUGGAGCCUGGGAUGUUGAGGCUGCAAUGAACUGUGAUUACCCCACUGCACUCCAGCCUGGGCAAAAGAGCGAGAGACCCUGUCUCAAAUAAUAAUAAUAAUAAUAAUCUUAUUUUGGAGAAUAAAGAGACCUCUGGAUUUGAGGUGCCAUUUGGGUAGAAAGAAAAGACGUUUACACCGAGAAAUAGUCUGUGUUGCCCUGAAGGAGCAGAGGGAUGCAUCGCUGGAGGUGACCUACAGUUGAAGAAGACUCAUUAUGACAGACCUUGUCCUUCUUCCUUGUGGAAAGUGUUUCCUCUGCUGCUACUGCUCAUGAGACUCUUCCCCCUCCCUGUCCCAGGGAACCAAAGGGCUUUCUACCACACCCUUUCUUGCCCCCCGCCUCCCAUGUCUGCUGUGCCUUUGUACUCAGCAAUUCUUGUUUGCUCCAUUAUCUUCCAGCCGGAUACAGAGUGAAUAGUUAACCACACUUAGGUCAAAUAGGAUCUAAAUUUUUGUUCCUGCUCCGUGUAAAGAGGCCAGUGUUUGUGUGUUGCAAGCAGCCUUGGAAUAGUAACUCUUCUCAUUUGUUUGGGAUCUGGCCACCAAGUUCCAGAAUGAUACACGGAUCAGUGCAGAAGUUCAUCAGGCUCUCGGACCUUAGGGCUGUUGGAGAAGGCUUCAGCAGCAGAACUGAUGGUGAAGGCUCGUGUUCUCCAUCCUCAACUUUCUUUGCUUCGAUCAUACACAAGAAUACAUUUGGAAGGGCAAAAAAUGAACACUGUCGUUCAUUGCAGCCGUGUUUUGUGACACAGAUGCACAGUCUGCUGUGAAGACCUUCUCUCAAGUGGCAUUUGGGAGUCCAUGCCAGAUCAUGGUGCUUCAUGAGAGACUGACAGCUAUCAGGGGUUGUGGCACUUAGUGAGGACUCUCCUCCCCCAGUGUGUGCUGAUGACACAUACACACCUGACAAUAGCUUGAGUCUUCUCUGUUCCUUUUACUCUGUAGCCAACAUACACAUGAUUUAAAACCCUUUCUAAAUAUCUAUCAUGGUUCAUCCUUGUCCAAAUGCAGAGUCAGAGCUAUUUGUACUUCAUUAUUAUUUCCAAGGCGAAUAGUUGGCUUUCUUUUUGCAAAAAUAAUUAAAGUUUUUGUAUGUUGCA
Molecule: long non-coding RNA, 2078 nt
Organism: Homo sapiens (human)
Lineage: Eukaryota; Metazoa; Chordata; Mammalia; Primates; Hominidae
Product: long intergenic non-protein coding RNA 511
Source: Ensembl